UCUCUAGUUUAUACCGCCUAUAUACCACCGUCGCCAGCUUACCCUGUGAAGGCCUAAUAGUAAGCACAAUUGGCAUAGCCCAAAACGUCAGGUCGAGGUGUAGUGCAUGGGAGGGGAAGAAAUGGGCUACAUUCGCUGUCUACCAGCGAACACGAAUGAUGCAUUGAAACAUGCAGCUGAAGGAGGAUUUAGCAGUAAGCAGAAAACAGAGUGUUCCGCUGAAACCGGCUCUUAAGCGCGCACACACCGCCCGUCACCCUCCCCAAGCACCUGGACCUAAAUUUUCUUAAACCUAAACAACCGCGAAGGAGAGGAAAGUCGUAACAUGGUAAGCGUACCGGAAGGUGCGCUUGGUUAAAC
Molecule: ribosomal RNA, 360 nt
Filed under: Atropus atropos (cleftbelly trevally)
Lineage: Eukaryota; Metazoa; Chordata; Actinopteri; Carangiformes; Carangidae
Description: partial 12S ribosomal RNA
Rfam family: Bacterial small subunit ribosomal RNA
Source: RNAcentral